GGACCCGCACAAGCGGUGGAGCAUGUGGUUUAAUUCGAUGCAACGCGAAAAACCUUACCUACACUUGACAUACUUCGAAUUUUCUAGAGAUAGAUUAGUGCCUUCGGGAGCGAAGAUACAGGUGCUGCAUGGCUGUCGUCAGCUCGUGUCGUGAGAUGUUGGGUUAAGUCCUAUAACGAGCGCAACCCUUACCCUUAUUUGCCAGCGGUUAGGCCGGGAACUAUAAGGGAACUGCCGGUAAUAAGCCGGAGGAAGGUGGGGACGACGUCAAGUCAUCAUGGCCCUUACGUGUAGGGCUACACACGUGCUACAAUGGGAGAUACAGACGGUUGCUAAAGCGCGAGCUGGAGCCAAUCCGACAAAGUCUCUCGUAGUCCGAAUUGCAGUCUGGAACUCGACUGCAUGAAGCCGGAAUCGCUAGUAAUCG
This 427-nucleotide ribosomal RNA is filed under the name uncultured bacterium. Its description in RNAcentral is "bacterial SSU rRNA". It matches the Rfam family "Bacterial small subunit ribosomal RNA", at positions 917 to 1344 of the family's 1533-position model. The record is from RNAcentral.